UCCGGUAAUUUUACUGUAAGGACAACACCCGUUCCCAUUCCGAAUACGGCAGUUAAUCCUUAUAAGGUCGAUGGUACUUGUCUCGCAAGGGGCCGGGAGAGUAGAACAUUACCGGAU
This is a non-coding RNA of Omnitrophica WOR_2 bacterium, 117 nucleotides long. NCBI's taxonomy places the organism in Bacteria, Pseudomonadati, Candidatus Omnitrophota. The record is from Rfam.